Molecule: ribosomal RNA, 422 nt
Filed under: uncultured bacterium
Lineage: Bacteria
Description: bacterial SSU rRNA
Rfam family: Bacterial small subunit ribosomal RNA
Source: RNAcentral
GAAUUCGAUUCAGGCCUAACACAUGCAAGUCGAACGAUGAAGCCGGAGCUUGCUCCGGUGGAUUAGUGGCGAACGGGUGAGUAACACGUGAGCAAUCUGCCCUUGACUCUGGGAUAACUGCGGGAAACUGUAGCUAAUACCGGAUACGACACCUUGGGGCAUCCCAGGGUGUGGAAAGAAUUUCGGUCAAGGAUGAGCUCGCGGCCUAUCAGCUAGUUGGUGAGGUAAUGGCUCACCAAGGCGACGACGGGUAGCCGGCCUGAGAGGGUGACCGGCCACACUGGAACUGAGACACGGUCCAGACUCCUACGGGAGGCAGCAGUGGGGAAUAUUGCACAAUGGGCGAAAGCCUGAUGCAGCAACGCCGCGUGAGGGAUGAAGACCGUCGGGUUGUAAACCUCUUUAGCAGGGAAGAAGCGAAA